AUGUCUAUUCGUUUGGAAUUGUCAUGUGGGAGUUGCUUACUAGGGAAGAGCCAUACUCUGGUAUGCGUGCUGCUGAAAUUAUUGGGGGCAUUGUAAACGAUUCCCUACGUCCUCAAAUUCCUUCAUGGUGUGAUCCUGAGUGGAAGGGGUUGAUGGAAAGCUGUUGGUCCAGUGAUCCAGCUGAGAGACCGUCCUUCACGGAUAUAUCUCAAAGGUUGAGGAAAAUGGCCGCCGCAAUGAAUGUGAAGUAAAGGUCCGGAAGCCAUAUUUGUCUUCAUCGCAGUUGAUGACCCUACUCCAAGUGAUAAUUUAUCAAGUGCUGACUUCAUGGGAGAACAUCUAUGUCAUGGAGAUUCCAAAGCAUGUUUGAUGUUUUCUUUUAAUCCUAGAGUAAACCGGCUACCAUUUGCCUUCCGUCGAAAACAAGUAUGCUAUUUGGCGCAUUGUCUUGAUGGGAGCUGUUGCACUGUCAUGUAAAUAAGUUUUGACUUGUUGGCCCGUAGUAGAUGUGCAAAGUAAUAGGCACGAUCACACAGUUACUUUUUUCCCCAUAUAAAUUGUGUUCUAGGAUAGGUAGAACGAACAUGACUGGAGCGAUCCUUGUUCAGAUUGUAAAGAAAAGGACAGAGCCAGUGCUGACGGUUCUUAUAUGAGUGGGGUCUCGUCAAAGAAUAACCAAAAACAAGUCU
Molecule: long non-coding RNA, 689 nt
Organism: Zea mays
Lineage: Eukaryota; Viridiplantae; Streptophyta; Magnoliopsida; Poales; Poaceae
Exons: 4
Source: RefSeq, a predicted model, not a curated record